UGGGGAAUAUUGGACAAUGGGCGGAAGCCUGAUCCAGCAACGCCGCGUGAGGGAUGACGGCCUUCGGGUUGUAAACCUCUUUCAGUACCGACGAAGCGAAAGUGACGGUAGGUACAGAAGAAGGACCGGCCAACUACGUGCCAGCAGCCGCGGUAAUACGUAGGGUCCGAGCGUUGUCCGGAAUUAUUGGGCGUAAAGGGCUCGUAGGCGGUUUGUCGCGUCGGGAGUGAAAACAGCGGGCUUAACUCGUUGCUUGCUUUCGAUACGGGCAGACUAGAGGUAUGCAGGGGAGAAUGGAAUUCCUGGUGUAGCGGUGAAAUGCGCAGAUAUCAGGAGGAACACCGGUGGCGAAGGCGGUUCUCUGGGCAUUACCUGACGCUGAGGAGCGAAAGUGUGGGGAGCGAACAGGAUUAGAUACCCUGGUAGUCCACACCGUAAAACGUUGGGCGCUAGGUGUGGGGUCCUUUCCACGGAUUCCGUGCCGUAGCUAACGCAUUAAGCGCCCCGCCUGGGGAGUACGGCCGCAAGGCUAAAAACUC
Molecule: ribosomal RNA, 539 nt
Filed under: uncultured bacterium
Lineage: Bacteria
Description: partial 16S ribosomal RNA
Rfam family: Bacterial small subunit ribosomal RNA
Source: RNAcentral